This 330-nucleotide long non-coding RNA is filed under the name Gallus gallus (chicken). The record is from RNAcentral. Lineage: Eukaryota; Metazoa; Chordata; Aves; Galliformes; Phasianidae.
UGAUGUCGUUUUCGUGCCUCUUGGGGACGUCGGAGUCGGCCACCCGUGGGGACAAAGUGAUGAUCAGCCCCUCCACGAAUUUGAUGGCGUGGGUCCGGACGCCGUCGUUAUCCGAGUCCAACAGGAGGAUGAUGUCGCUCGCCAUGGCGGCCACCAUCUCCCAGCACGCCUCCUGCAGCUCGCUGAUGGCCUUCGACUUCACCAUCCACUGCAGGGCCACCUUGUAGAGCUGCGUCAUGGUGAGGAUGGCCUUCUUCACCACGUUGACGUUCUCAUCCUUCAGCAGCAUGUUGAGGUUGGCGAUCAGCUUCAGCAGCAGCUCGAUGUCCC